GAUGAACGCUGGCGGCGUGCCUAAUACAUGCAAGUCGAGCGAACAGACGAGGAGCUUGCUCCUCUGACGUUAGCGGCGGACGGGUGAGUAACACGUGGAUAACCUACCUAUAAGACUGGGAUAACUUCGGGAAACCGGAGCUAAUACCGGAUAAUAUAUUGAACCGCAUGGUUCAAUAGUGAAAGACGGUUUUGCUGUCACUUAUAGAUGGAUCCGCGCCGCAUUAGCUAGUUGGUAAGGUAACGGCUUACCAAGGCAACGAUGCGUAGCCGACCUGAGAGGGUGAUCGGCCACACUGGAACUGAGACACGGUCCAGACGCCUACGGGAGGCAGUAGUAGGGAAUCUUCCGCAAUGGGCGGAAGCCUGACGGAGCAACGCCGCGUGAGUGAUGAAGGUCUUCGGAUCGUAAAACUCUGUUAUUAGGGAAGAACAAAUGUGUAAGUAACUAUGCACGUCUUGACGGUACCUAAUCAGAAAGCCACGGCUAACUACGUG
Molecule: ribosomal RNA, 497 nt
Filed under: uncultured bacterium
Lineage: Bacteria
Description: partial 16S ribosomal RNA
Rfam family: Bacterial small subunit ribosomal RNA
Source: RNAcentral